Molecule: long non-coding RNA, 708 nt
Organism: Pistacia vera
Lineage: Eukaryota; Viridiplantae; Streptophyta; Magnoliopsida; Sapindales; Anacardiaceae
Exons: 4
Source: RefSeq, a predicted model, not a curated record
UCUAUUUUCUUUGCCUUUUUGAUGUGCUUUGUUUUGUGGGUUGGUGUGCAGGAAUGAUAGGAGGACCACCAUGUUGCCCAAUAGUGACAACCAAAAGUGCAAAAGUUCAUGAACAAUGUCAAGAGAGUCACACAGUUUGUACAGAUAACAAUAUGAAAGGACCAGUCAUUCAGUACAUGAAGAAUGUCAGGAAAAUCCUUCAGACUUAAAGGGCAGCAAAUGCAAAGGUCAAGUAGGCGAUUAGCAAACAGAAAGGGAGGGGGGUUGUUGAGCAGAAGCAUGUUUGACCUCCACAUGGGGAAGUUGUUGAGGAGUUUUAAAGGAGACAACUUGCACAAUUUCAUCACCUUGGACUGCAUGUGGUUUUUUAUGUCCAUAGAAGAGGUCUACAAAGGGAACAUGCUGAAGUGGAUUGACGAAUUGGACGUAUUCUCAAGAAAAUAUGGGUUUAUUCUGAUAGUCCUUCGGUGAGUGAAGAUUUUGUGUCCGUAGGCAUUUGUUUUAUACUUACCAAACACGGAUAUGGGUUGAUAUCGGUUUGCUUUAGACUUAACAUUGAUAAUAUGCAUAAAUUAUGCUGACAGGGGUCAUUGGAGUUUACUGAUUUUGUGCAACUUUGGUGGAGAUGUGAACUUGGAAAUUAAAACUCGAUGCAUGGUGCUGCUUGAUUCACUUGGAUAGGAAUACGAAAUGAGGCUGCAACCUCUG